AAAGAAGGCGUCCAAGUUCCUGAAUUGCCUUUUCAUAGAUUUCCAAAAUGUCCUGAAAUUAGAACUGCGUGGAUUAGGACAAUAAAACGAAAAUCUGGAAGUGAAAGCUUCACAUCUGAAUGUAAUCAAUGUCUAUCUAAGAUCCCGGAAGUGCCAAACUGUAUUUAUGUACUUAUUUUCUGAGAAACGGCCAAUUUAUAAGUAUCAGCUGCUGCCUGCUAAAGGUAUAUAUGUAUAACAUUACUCACUUUUCUUAAAGUCUGAGUGUAGAUAUAAUAUAAGUAAGUAUGUUUUACAGAAGAAUUGUGAAUAAUUAAUAUUCAAUACUGUCAGAAACUUUCCGCCACAAAAAGUAACAUAGUAUAAUAUAAAAUAUGCUUACGUUAAUUAUAGUAAUAAUACUAAUAAAUUGAUUUGAAUUAUUUGAA
Long non-coding RNA from Maniola jurtina (meadow brown), 428 nucleotides. RefSeq lists it as uncharacterized. The record is from RefSeq and is a predicted model, not a curated record. Lineage: Eukaryota; Metazoa; Arthropoda; Insecta; Lepidoptera; Nymphalidae. The transcript is spliced from 3 exons.